GUUUUUGGGUUCAUCCAUCUGUGGAGCAUGACCAAACUGAAUCUACAGCGAUGGAGGGAAUUGUUGAAAAAAGCAUUACCGUUGUUCUACAUUACCGUUUCACAUGGCUAUCCAUUACCUGUUAAAAAACCAUGGUUGUUGCUUAUUUUACCGUUUAAAAAAACAUGACUGUUUCUUAUUUUACCGUUUUAAAAAAGCAUGCCCGUUGCCGAAUGUUACUGUUAUAAAUGACAGGGCACUGUUCUUGUGGAUUAGCGAGGGCUUGCGUUCUUCCUCUUCUGUCAAUAUAGGGAGGAGCAGAACAUAGGAAGAGGGAAGGCAAAAGGCAAAGGCAGAGCAUAAGGAAGUGUGACAAUUGAACAGAGAAGGCAAGAUGAUUUCAAAACCAGAGGUUGGCCUGCUCAUCUGCAUUUUGGGGUAUCCUCGUUCGCUUGAAAUGGAAGAAUCUGCGCUUAGUCAGGCUGAGCUAGCAUUCAGAAAUGUUUGGAAGCUCCAAUAGGUAGCUGCUGAAGUUGAGUAAUGAAUGUAAAUUAAAAAAUCCUAGGAAAAUGUUUCAAAUAUUGAAUGGGUUACUAAAUGCAAGAUUUAAUAUCUAAAAUUGGAAAAAUGUUGUAUAUUUUAAUCAAUUGUUAAAAUUGGUGCAAAUGCAAUUUCUAAAUUGAGGCAAUUUACUAGAUAAUGCAAUAUCUAAAAUUGGGGAAGAUGUUACAUUUUUGAAGCAGUUGCUGAAAUUGGUGACAUCAUAAAUGUAAUAUAUAAUUGAGACAAUGCUUAUCCAGUAAUUUGAUAUGUAAACUGAUUUAUUA
Molecule: long non-coding RNA, 806 nt
Organism: Cryptomeria japonica (Japanese cedar)
Lineage: Eukaryota; Viridiplantae; Streptophyta; Pinopsida; Cupressales; Cupressaceae
Exons: 3
Source: RefSeq, a predicted model, not a curated record